GACGAACGCUGGCGGCGUGCUUAAUACAUGCAAGUUGAGCGAUGAAGAUUGGUGUUUGCACCCUUUUGAAGAGCAGCGAACGGGUGAGUAACGCGUGGGAAAUCUCCUUUUGAGCGGGGGACAACAUUGGGAAACGAAUGCUAAUCCCGCAUAACAACUUUAAACAUAGGUUUUAUGGUUGAAAGAUGCAAUUGCAUCACUCAAAGAUGAUUCCGCGUCGUAUUAGCUAGUUGGUGAGGUAAAGGCUCACCAAGGCGAGGAUACAUAGCCGCACUGAGAGGGUGGUUAGCCCACCUGGGACUGAGACCCGGCCCAAACUGCCUCGGGAAGGAGCAGGACGGAAACGUCGGGAAUGGGGGGAAGUCUUAGCGAGCAACGCCGGGGGAGGGAAGAAGGUUGUCGGGUCCGAAAACUCGGUUUAUAGGGAAGAAAGCUCGUGGGAGUGGAAAGCUCAUGAAGUGACGGUAACUACUCAGAAAGCGACGGCUAACUACGUG
This 497-nucleotide ribosomal RNA is filed under the name uncultured bacterium. Its description in RNAcentral is "partial 16S ribosomal RNA". It matches the Rfam family "Bacterial small subunit ribosomal RNA", at positions 28 to 507 of the family's 1533-position model. The record is from RNAcentral.